This 238-nucleotide ribosomal RNA is filed under the name uncultured bacterium. RNAcentral describes it as "partial 16S ribosomal RNA". It matches the Rfam family "Bacterial small subunit ribosomal RNA", at positions 96 to 334 of the family's 1533-position model. The record is from RNAcentral.
CGGCGGACGGGUGAGUAACGCGUGGGUAACCUGCCUCAUACAGGGGGAUAACAGUUGGAAACGGCUGCUAAUACCGCAUAAGCGCACAGUACCGCAUGGUACCGUGUGAAAAACUCCGGUGGUAUGAGAUGGACCCGCGUCUGAUUAGCUAGUUGGUGGGGUAACGGCCUACCAAGGCGACGACCAGUAGCCGACCUGAGAGGGUGACCGGCCACAUUGGGACUGAGACACGGCCCAA